AUCCAGAUGACGAGUCCCUAAAUAGGACUAAAUGCGUGUCAUCCUGGAU
Molecule: non-coding RNA, 49 nt
Filed under: Trichobilharzia regenti
Lineage: Eukaryota; Metazoa; Platyhelminthes; Trematoda; Strigeidida; Schistosomatidae
Source: RNAcentral